Molecule: ribosomal RNA, 429 nt
Filed under: Chloroflexota bacterium
Lineage: Bacteria; Bacillati; Chloroflexota
Description: Chloroflexi bacterium partial 16S ribosomal RNA
Rfam family: Bacterial small subunit ribosomal RNA
Source: RNAcentral
UGGGGAAUAUUGCACAAUGGGCGCAAGCCUGAUGCAGCCAUGCCGCGUGUGUGAAGAAGGCCUUCGGGUUGUAAAGCACUUUCAGCGGGGAGGAAGGCGUUAAGGUUAAUAACCUUGGCGAUUGACGUUACCCGCAGAAGAAGCACCGGCUAACUCCGUGCCAGCAGCCGCGGUAAUACGGAGGGUGCAAGCGUUAAUCGGAAUUACUGGGCGUAAAGCGCACGCAGGCGGUCUGUCAAGUCGGAUGUGAAAUCCCCGGGGUCAACCUGGGAACUGCAUUCGAAACUGGCAGGCUAGAGUCUUGUAGAGGGGGGUAGAAAUCCAGGUGUAGCGAUGAAAUGCGUAGAGAUCUGGAGGAAUACCGGUGGCGAAGGCGGCCCCCUGGACAAAGACUGACGCUCAGGUGCGAAAGCGUGGGGAGCAAACAGG